AUGGCAACCAAUCAAAAUUCAUGAAAGGGCCGAUUUGACUCAAUGUGGCCAGGGACAUUUUAUUUCAUUGGAGUGUACAAUGGCAAGAGAAGUUCAGAGACAACCUCUCCUACUUGAUGAACAGAAAUGGUCACUGCUUCCCCACCCACAUUCCCUGCUGUACAACUCUGUAUCCAUUUUAUUUGCAAGAGCUUGUCCUGAACUGACUUGCACCAACUGAGCAUAAAAGCUUUCUUUUAAAAAAUGUAAUGCAUAAUAUAAUUUUAAUCCAACAA
Molecule: long non-coding RNA, 275 nt
Organism: Podarcis raffonei (Aeolian wall lizard)
Lineage: Eukaryota; Metazoa; Chordata; Lepidosauria; Squamata; Lacertidae
Exons: 2
Source: RefSeq, a predicted model, not a curated record